UACAGAGGUCCCAAGCGUUGUUCGGAUUCACUGGGCGUAAAGGGUGCGUAGGUGGUGGGGUAAGUUUGAUGUGAAAGCUCCGAGCUUAACUCGGAAAUGGCAUUGAAUACUAUCCUGCUUGAGGUUUGGAGGGGGGACUGGAAUUCUCGGUGUAGCAGUGAAAUGCGUAGAUAUCGAGAGGAACACCAGUGGCGAAGGCGAGUCCCUGGACAACACCUGACACUGAGGCACGAAAGCUAGGGGAGCAAACGGG
Molecule: ribosomal RNA, 253 nt
Filed under: uncultured bacterium
Lineage: Bacteria
Description: partial 16S ribosomal RNA
Rfam family: Bacterial small subunit ribosomal RNA
Source: RNAcentral